AUUGAACGCUGGCGGCAGGCCUAACACAUGCAAGUCGAACGGUAACAGGAAGAAGCUUGCUUCUUUGCUGACGAGUGGCGGACGGGUGAGUAAUGUCUGGGAAACUGCCUGAUGGAGGGGGAUAACUACUGGAAACGGUAGCUAAUACCGCAUAACGUCGCAAGACCAAAGAGGGAGACCUUCGGGCCUCUUGCCAUCGGAUGUGCCCAGAUGGGAUUAGCUAGUAGGUGGGGUAACGGCUCACCUAGGCGACGAUCCCUAGCUGGUCUGAGAGGAUGACCAGCCACACUGGAACUGAGACACGGUCCAGACUCCUACGGGAGGCAGCAGUGGGGAAUAUUGCACAAUGGGCGCAAGCCUGAUGCAGCCAUGCCGCGUGUAUGAAGAAGGCCUUCGGGUUGUAAAGUACUUUCAGCGGGGAGGAAGGGAGUAAAGUUAAUACCUUUGCUCAUUGACGUUACCCGCAGAAGAAGCACCGGCUAACUCCGUG
This 490-nucleotide ribosomal RNA is filed under the name uncultured bacterium. Its description in RNAcentral is "partial 16S ribosomal RNA". It matches the Rfam family "Bacterial small subunit ribosomal RNA", at positions 30 to 507 of the family's 1533-position model. The record is from RNAcentral.